GUAUUGAAGCAGUGUUCUAAAUGUAAAAUGACUGACAUUUUAUUUUAAUGUGUAGAUUGUCUUUGAGAACUGCUCACCCGUGGAGAUUGCAGUGGCAAAGUGUUCCUGUGUAGCUGGAACAGCACUCUGCAACCACAAUGUUGCACUGCUGUUCCAGACCGCACACUACUCCACACUCAACCUGGCUGCUGUACCCCCUGUCCUCAGCUGCACUGAAACAGAGCAGCGAUGGCACAAGCCAAGAACCAUGGGUGUGAAACCAGGCAGAGUGAGUGACAUGGUGUUCAUUUCCACUAAGCCAAAGCAGUUUACAGUUGCUGACGGUGUAAGGAGUACACGUUACAAGGCCGUGCGGGGGGAGCUGCCAGACCCA
This is a long non-coding RNA of Trematomus bernacchii (emerald rockcod), 373 nucleotides long. RefSeq lists it as uncharacterized. The transcript has 3 exons. Lineage: Eukaryota; Metazoa; Chordata; Actinopteri; Perciformes; Nototheniidae. The record is from RefSeq and is a predicted model, not a curated record.